GACGAACGCUGGCGGCGUGCUUAACACAUGCAAGUCGAGCGGUAAGGCUCCUUCGGGAGUACACGAGCGGCGAACGGGUGAGUAACACGUGAGCAAUCUGCCCAUCACUUUGGGAUAACUCCGGGAAACCGGUGCUAAUACCGAAUACGACCACUUCAGGCAUCUGACGGUGGUGGAAAGUUCCGGCGGUGAUGGAUGAGCUCGCGGCCUAUCAGCUUGUUGGUGGGGUAAUGGCCUACCAAGGCUUCGACGGGUAGCCGGCCUGAGAGGGUGACCGGCCACACUGGGACUGAGACACGGCCCAGACUCCUACGGGAGGCAGCAGUGGGGAAUAUUGGACAAUGGGCGAAAGCCUGAUCCAGCAACGCCGCGUGAGGGAUGACGGCCUUCGGGUUGUAAACCUCUUUCAGCGCCGACGAAGCGAAAGUGACGGUAGGCGCAGAAGAAGCACCGGCCAACUACGUGCCAGCCGCCGCGGUAA
This 481-nucleotide ribosomal RNA is filed under the name uncultured bacterium. Its description in RNAcentral is "partial 16S ribosomal RNA". It matches the Rfam family "Bacterial small subunit ribosomal RNA", at positions 28 to 523 of the family's 1533-position model. The record is from RNAcentral.